UUAUGGCCAUAUCGUGUUGAAACAGGAGUUCCUAUAUGAUCACCAAAGCUAAGCAACAUCCAGCCUGGUCAGUAACUAUUUGGGUGACCACUUGGGAAUACCAGGUGUUGUAA
This is a non-coding RNA of Acanthosepion pharaonis, 113 nucleotides long. The record is from the annotation of a GenBank genome assembly. NCBI's taxonomy places the organism in Eukaryota, Metazoa, Mollusca, Cephalopoda, Sepiida, Sepiidae.